Molecule: ribosomal RNA, 320 nt
Filed under: uncultured eukaryote
Lineage: Eukaryota
Description: partial 18S ribosomal RNA
Rfam family: Eukaryotic small subunit ribosomal RNA
Source: RNAcentral
CCCCUAGAUGUUCUGGGCCGCACGCGCGCUACACUGAACAGUUCAACAAGUCUUAACCUUGGCCGAUAGGUCUGGGUAAUCUUUGAACGCUGUUCGUGAUUGGGAUAGACCUUUGCAAUUAUGGGUCUUCAACGAGGAAUUCCUAGUAAACGCAAGUCAUCAGCUUGCAUUGAUUACGUCCCUGCACUUUGUACACACCGCCCGUCGCACCUACCGAUUGAAUGGUCCGGUGAAAUCUCGGGACGGCGGCUUGGUCGCUUGCGUCCGACUGCUGAAACUUGAUUAAACCAUAUCAUUUAGAGGAAGGUGAAGUCGUAACA